AGUCAUAAUGGCUAUUCUCUAUAAAUAGUGAUGGUGAUGAGCGAUGUGGGCGUGCAGUCACACGUUCAUAUCGCGAC
This 77-nucleotide antisense RNA is filed under the name Klebsiella sp. BIGb0399. Its description in RNAcentral is "Raoultella sp. BIGb0399 SymR antitoxin". It matches the Rfam family "SymR antitoxin". Lineage: Bacteria; Pseudomonadati; Pseudomonadota; Gammaproteobacteria; Enterobacterales; Enterobacteriaceae. The record is from RNAcentral.